RNA transcript from Pygocentrus nattereri (red-bellied piranha), 4411 nucleotides. It is a transcript of the gene named CMRF35-like molecule 8, with no coding region annotated. The transcript is spliced from 2 exons. Lineage: Eukaryota; Metazoa; Chordata; Actinopteri; Characiformes; Serrasalmidae. The record is from RefSeq and is a predicted model, not a curated record.
UCAGAUUUGAUUUUGCUCGGGUCUCUAAUUACUGGCUUGGUGCUAUUCUGCAGUCACUCUCUGUCAUGCUGUCAGGGGGGCAAGCGGGCUUCACGGUGGGGUGCCCUGGGUGGAGGUUCUGGAGAGUAUGUUCGGGUGUGGAUGCAGGAGUGGACAGACCUUUGUACGAGCUCCAAAUGUUUAAAAUAUACCUUAGGGUACAUAGGAGAUUUGAGAAUUAUUAGGGUUGCGCGAAAAGUUUUGUUCUUGAGAGUUUGGAAAAGAAGGGCAAUGUGGAAGUGAUGUGCAUGAGAAAACUGUGGGUCCAUGAGGUGUGCUAGGCUCCUGUUUUAUGAGUGGUGUGGAAUUGUUUAACUGUGGAGUUGUGGAAGUGAUGUGCAUGAAUUGGGGGGCUUUGUGCUGAUGAGAGUGAAGUGGUUGGCUCCGUUCUGUGAAAUGUACUGAAGUUUUUGCUUGUUCUCUGCCUUAUAUGGGGGGAGGAGCCACGAGAAGAGGAGGCAGUCGGAGAGUGUGUGACGUGGAGACUUGCGGAUGGAAUUCUGACCCCAACCCUUGAUUUCCACACAGGAAAAAAAAAAAAGAGGCCAGUUUUUUGUUUCAUCCACAAACUCUUUGUUUGAAUGCAUGCUCGGAUAAUGGACGAGAGUUUGUGGAUAAGACAAUGAAACUGAUUUUGCAAAAACUAGGAAUCAAGCAGCGGUUUGGUGCAGUCUAUCAUCCACAAAGUCAGGGAAUUUGUGAAAGAAUGAAUGGAGUUCUGAAAAACCGUAUUAUUAAGAUCUGUCAGCAUACGGGAUUGAAUUGGGUAGCGGCGCUUCCGUUGGCGCUAAUGGUAUGCCGAUCAAGUGAGUUGCGUGAUUUGCAUAUGACACCUCAUGAGUUGCUUACAGGAAGGCGGAUGCCAAUGUCUUGUUUACGUACAAGUGGGAAAGGUCCGAGCUUAUCUCUUUUAGAAGAUGAGAUGCGAGCAUAUGUUACAUAUAUGGAUACCUUGCAUAAAAAAAUAUCUGCGUAUGUUUCUGAUAGGCAAAAGAAAGAGGAGGUGCAGGAGAGACUUGAUGAGCAAAAGAGGGACACAAUACAACCAGGGGACAAGGUGUUCGUGAAGGUGUUUAGAAGGAAGUGGUAUAAUGAACGACGUGAAGGACCGUUUGAAGUUGUUCGCAGUACAGGAACCGCAGUCCAGGUUAAAGGGUCUCCAACGUGGUAUCAUUUCUCACAUUGUGUUAAAGCACCAAGUGAUGAGUUGCCAUGUUCGCAGAGUCAUGAUGAGGGUUCAAAACAGUCAGAAGGGAAUGCAGAACAAUGUGAAGAAAUCGAAAUGCAUAGAGAUUUCUAGAGUCAAAUUUCAGAAGGUGAGAUUGUCCAUGGGGUGGAAGAUGUUGAUGAUGUUGUGUACAUUUCUGAUGAUGCCAGAAGUGACUCUGCAGUUAAUGGACAGGAAAAAAGGUUUGGUGACAUUGACUUCCAAUAUGUCCCAGAACCAGCAGAACCUAUUUCAGUGGAGUGUGAAGCGUCAAAGGCCACAAAGGGCAGUAACUCAGCUGCAGGAUCAUCAGGGGGUUCAGUUAGAAGGAGGAGUCCAAGGCCAGUUCGGAAAAGAGUUAGACCCAAACGGUACGAGAAUUGAGGGAGAAAGGAUUUUAGAUAAUAUAACUCUGCUAGAUGAGUCAUAUUUAACUACAGAAGCUUCUCAGAUAAUUUUGACAACACCAGAUCCUUUAAAGAUGGUAGUUAGAGCUAAAAUAGGAAGAGGGGUUCAUCUUCCCUGUCGAUGUGAGAGAUUUAAUGUUGGAGGUAAUAAUCCUCCUCAGUGGAGAAAUAGUCGUGGUGAAGAUGUGCUGUUAGAGGGACCUGAAGUUGAUGCAGUUCCUCAUGAUAAGAGGAAGUAUCUUUUAUAUAAUGCCAUGAGGUGGUUCAAAGUUAAGAAUGAUUGUUCACUUUUUGUGCGUAAUGUCACAUGGGAAGAUCAGGGAGAAUAUACAUGUACUUAUUUCAAGCAACAUUUUAAGUUUGUGCCAUCUAGUAAGGGGUGGAGAGAAGGCCACAUAACUCGUAAGGUGGUAGUUGUGUUAAAAGAUGUGAGUCCUACUGGAGUACUUACAGCAACUACUCCGAGGGUGAAUAAUACACAGAUGAGGGUUACUACUUUAGCUCAGGAAAUAACUAAGAGUGUUAAUACAUCAAUACAGACUACUACUUUAGCUAUGUCUCUGAAGGGGUUGAAUGUUACUACAGCAAUGGUGACAGCCUCUACUAUUGUCACUGCAGGAAACAUUACAAGUGAAGAUAGGACAAGGCUAAUUUUGGCUAAUGAAACAGAGACAACAUCUUUGUUGCCUAUGAACUCUGUAAAUGUGACACAGACAUUUGAUAUGACAUCAUUAAAAUUUAAAGAGGGGGUAAAUGUAACUCAGAAGUCUAUGCUAAAGAUAGAGUCUAGUGUGAAGACUAGUAAUGAGACUUUUGAAAUUAGAGAACCAAUGGUGGAUGAUGAGUUUUUUUAUUCUGAUUGGAUAUCAGAAGGUAUGAUUGACCGUUAUCGUGCAUUACAGAAGAGAGAAGCUAAGUGGAAAGCAUAUGGAUUUGAUUCCUCAGCAAUGAAAAUAGCAGACCCAUUUGCGGGGAGAAAUUUAUGGUUUCAGCAGUUGACUCAUUCUGUGAGAUCAGUGGGUAAAGUGGAUGGUCCAUGUAUAGUGAAGGUUCCAGCACCAGGUUCAUGGUCUUUAAUUUUAGAAGCGGUGCCGGAACCAUUAGCUAUCAAAUGUCAAUAUUAUGUAGUAUCGUGGAUGUUAUACCAUCAACACUCGCCACAAAAUAGAUGGAUGGCUAUAUCAUCGAAUUUGUUUAGACCCCAGUUAGAAUGUGCUUGGUUAAGUAACUUGCCAUACAUAAAUUUACUUGAUCAGCAUGAGGAUGUGAUGACGGCGAUUCCUGAGGCAAUAGAGGUGAAACCAGUGCAGGCUGACAAGUGUUUUUGCUCAAAUAACACUCGUGGAGGUCCAGGGGUGUUUAUGGGAAUAUCAGAGUGUAAGACUUAUAUGAUGACUUUGGGUGAUCGUACAAAGUAUCCUUGGGAAAACUUAUAUGAAGUGGUUUUUCAUUUACCAAAGCGAAAGUCAAGUGUAACUUUAAUGGUAAGGAAUCAAAUUUCACCAGGAAAUGUAACUAUUGGGAAUUUUAAGGACAUUUGGUGGGUUUGUGGUGAUAAAGCUUAUAUAUUUUUGCCAUAUGGAUGGACAGGUUGUUGUUAUAUGGCAACGUUAAAGCUACCGUAUGAAGUUUUUACUGUAGGGAUAGGACAAGAUCCUCGUGAGAACUCAUCUAGUGGUCAUUUGGGAAAUAGGAGGAAAAGAGAGAUGGCAAAAUUUCAUGACUUGGAAGCCUAUCAUUGGAGAAUAAGUCUUGGAGAGAAGUGGGGAAUUGGAAUAUUUCCAUGGUAUGGUGUGACGUUUUUGGCUGAUCAUAUUGAUAAUAUUACUUACACAUUACAAGGUUUUGCAAAUGAGACAAUAAAAGGUUUUGAAUAUUUGUCCAAUACUCAAAAGAGUCAUAGAUUGACAUUGUUGAAACAUGAUAUGGUGCUUGAUUACAUUUUAGCUAAACAAGGAGGUCUUUGUGUAGCUUUGAAUUUGACAGGAGACGACUGUUAUACUUUAAUUCCUGAUAGCACUGAUAACAUAACUAAUGUUAUAGAAGCAUUGAAACAUAUAAGAGAUGCAUUUGGUCCUUCUGAGGGAGCUGGAUGGUCAGCUAAUGCUUGGUUGCUAGAGAAGUUGGGUCCGUUGGGGUCAGCUAUAGUUCAGGUUCUGAUAGCAGUGGUUAUAUCAUUGUGUGCAAUGUUUUGUUUUUGUACGCUGAUAUUGACCUGUGCGAAAGCUAUGUUAUUGAAAUGGGUAGGAGUUGUGAUGCCAGGGGAAAAUGGUCAGUUGUCAGUCUUACAGAUGACUGAUAUAGAAGAGGAAGAAGUGCUAACAUCUAAAUUGAUGGAUAAAUAUCCAAUUUGAGUAUUGAGCUUAUUAUAAUCUUGACAUUUAUUCUUGUCUUUUGUCAUUAUGUAAUGGGAUACUUAAUUUCCAUUUAUUUGAUUUAUAACUAAUGUAUUAAUCAAUAUAUUACUGUAUGUCAGUGGUUUUGCAAAAAGAUACUGGCUGGUGCUUUCUUUCUUUCCUCUAGUAUGAGAGAAAAAAGGGGGGAAAGGCCACUGGGAAUGCUGAAGGAACUUGUCCCAACAGAGAGAAUAAAGUGGACUGGAGGAUGUUCCUAUUCACGACAUCAUUGACACUACGAUGCUGUGAUGGACUGUCCAGAGUCAAGGAGGAGCUUCAGUCCAGAUGUUCUACCACAGUCAUCAACACACAUCAGUUCAUCAACCACACAAACAACCACAUCGUCAACUCCUGAAACCACA